AGUGAACGCUGGCGGUAGGCCUAACACAUGCAAGUCGAACGGCAGCACAGUAAGAGCUUGCUCUUACGGGUGGCGAGUGGCGGACGGGUGAGGAAUACAUCGGAAUCUACUUUUUCGUGGGGGAUAACGUAGGGAAACUUACGCUAAUACCGCAUACGACCUACGGGUGAAAGCAGGGGAUCUUCGGACCUUGCGCGAUUGAAUGAGCCGAUGUCGGAUUAGCUAGUUGGCGGGGUAAAGGCCCACCAAGGCGACGAUCCGUAGCUGGUCUGAGAGGAUGAUCAGCCGCACUGGAACUGAGACACGGUCCAGACUCCUACGGGAGGCAGCAGUGGGGGAUAUUGGACAAUGGGCGCAAGCCUGAUCCAGCCAUACCGCGUGGGUGAAGAAGGCCUUCGGGUUGUAAAGCCCUUUUGUUGGGAAAGAAAAGCAGCAGGUUAAUACCCCGCUGUUCUGACGGUACCCAAAGAAUAAGCACCGGCUAACUUCGUG
RNAcentral lists this ribosomal RNA (492 nucleotides) under uncultured bacterium. RNAcentral's name for it is "partial 16S ribosomal RNA". It matches the Rfam family "Bacterial small subunit ribosomal RNA", at positions 29 to 507 of the family's 1533-position model. The record is from RNAcentral.